RNAcentral lists this ribosomal RNA (333 nucleotides) under uncultured bacterium. RNAcentral describes it as "bacterial SSU rRNA". It matches the Rfam family "Bacterial small subunit ribosomal RNA", at positions 568 to 898 of the family's 1533-position model. The record is from RNAcentral.
CGCGUAGACGGCUGUCUAAGUCUGGAGUGAAAGUCCUGCUUUCAAGGUGGGAAUUGCUUUGGAGACUGGAUGGCUUGAGUGCGGAAGAGGUAAGUGGAAUUCCCAGUGUAGCGGUGAAAUGCGUAGAGAUUGGGAGGAACACCAGUGGCGAAGGCGACUUACUGGGCCGUAACUGACGUUGAUGCGCGAAAGCGUGGGGAGCGAACAGGAUUAGAUACCCUGGUAGUCCACGCGGUAAACGAUGAGUGCUAGGUGUAGCGGGUAUCGACCCCUGCUGUGCCGGAGUUAACACAAUAAGCACUUCGCCUGGGGGAGUACGGCCGCAAGGUUGAA